This 750-nucleotide long non-coding RNA is filed under the name Rattus norvegicus (Norway rat). RNAcentral describes it as "long non-coding RNA NONRATT025100". The record is from RNAcentral. Lineage: Eukaryota; Metazoa; Chordata; Mammalia; Rodentia; Muridae.
UGGAUUUUUGGGAUAGAAACCCUGGUGCACCCCAUCGAAAAAAGAGAGAGCCUAUAUCGGCCAUCACUCUUGCAGUUCUCUUUGGGUUAGGGACAUCAGGGACAGGCACAGGCAUCGCUUCUCUUGUGACCUCCCAACAAAUUCAACAACACUAUCAUUUACUCAGCACUACAAUUGACCAGGACCUAGAUGAACUGAGAGAGGGCUUAGCCAAUUUAAAAGAUUCUGUUGCCUCCCUUUCAGAAGUAGUACUGCAAAAUAGAAGAGGGCUUGAUUUGCUCUUCCUACAACAAGGAGGACUUUGUACAGCCUUAAAAGAGGAAUGCUGUGUUUAUGUAGAUAAGACUGGACUUAUAGAAGAGUCUAAGAAAAGUGAGAGAUAGCCUAGAAAAAUGAAAGAGAGAAUGAGAACAAGAGUCCUGGUAUAAAAACUGGUUUUCUACAUCCCCAUGGCUCUCUACCCUGUUGCCUUUGCUUUUAGGACAACUUGUGGGCCUGCUUCUAUUGAUUUCCUUUGGUCCUUGGGCCUUUCAGUGACUUACAUGCUUUAUUAAAUCACAAAUUUCUGCUUUGCCUAGAAAUUCUGUUUCAGUACAUUAUCAUCCCUUGGGGACCAGAACAGUUGAGGAGAACCAGAGAGACGACAAGAUGAGGUGCCCAAAACAUAUCGGGAGAGGCUCAACUUCCACAAUCUCCUAAACUAAUGCCAUCUGGCCCCUACUCUUUCGCCCCUGGGCUCAAGUGAGAGGA